GCCCGCUUGAUGGAAUUGGUAGACAUACAAGACUUAAAAUCUUGAGCCCUUCCGGGCGUGCCGGUUCGAGUCCGGCAGCGGGCACCA
RNAcentral lists this transfer RNA (87 nucleotides) under Alphaproteobacteria bacterium. RNAcentral's name for it is "tRNA-Leu". It matches the Rfam family "tRNA". Rfam says of the family: Transfer RNA (tRNA) molecules are approximately 80 nucleotides in length. Their secondary structure includes four short double-helical elements and three loops (D, anti-codon, and T loops). RNAcentral also lists the same sequence under 3 other names. The record is from RNAcentral. Lineage: Bacteria; Pseudomonadati; Pseudomonadota; Alphaproteobacteria.